Daphnia pulex (common water flea) is the source of this 83-nucleotide non-coding RNA. NCBI's taxonomy places the organism in Eukaryota, Metazoa, Arthropoda, Branchiopoda, Diplostraca, Daphniidae. The record is from the annotation of a RefSeq genome assembly.
GACGUGGUGACCGAGCGGUUAAGGUGAUGGACUGCUAAUCCAUAGUGCAUUGCACGCAAGGGGUUCGAAUCCCAUCCUCGUCG